UACGUAGGUGGCAAGCGUUGUCCGGAUUUACUGGGCGUAAAGAGCGCGCAGGCGGUCGUCCAAGUCGCGUGUGAAAGCCCCCGGCUCAACUGGGGAGGGUCACGCGAUACUGGUCGACUCGAAGGCAGGAGAGGGUAGUGGAAUUCCCGGUGUAGUGGUGAAAUGCGUAGAUAUCGGGAGGAACACCAGUGGCGAAGGCGGCCAGCUGGGCCAUUGCUGACGCUGAUGCGCGAAAGCGUGGGGAGCAAACAGG
Molecule: ribosomal RNA, 253 nt
Filed under: uncultured bacterium
Lineage: Bacteria
Description: partial 16S ribosomal RNA
Rfam family: Bacterial small subunit ribosomal RNA
Source: RNAcentral